GCAGCGUCCCUUGGCGGCGGGCGCGCCCACGUGUGGCGCGGAAGAGCCGGCCCGGCUGUGGCAGGAGCCUUCGGACCUGGAUAGUUUAGAGCCACCCACCCUGGCCUGACAGCUGCAGGGCCAGAUGCACCUUGAAGGACUGGAGUCAUGCAGAGUUCACCUGAGCAUCCUGAUUGCACCAGCUGGGGCUCCCAGCCAAUCAAAGCAGUGGCACCUGUUGAGUGAGUAGGCUCCACGUCCAGUGUAGAGCCCAAUGUGGGGCUUGAACUCACACCCCGAGAUGGAGACCCGAGCAGACAUCAACAGACACCUAACCAGUUGAGCCACCCAGGCACCCUAAACAACUUUGUUCUUAAUCGCCUGGCUGCUACAAGGAAUUAAAUUCAAAAGGGUAAAGGAAGAAAGAAAAAUGAAUUAUAGGAGCUACUCUACGCCUUUGGUGGAAAUAAAACACUUUGUAAGAGU
Molecule: long non-coding RNA, 465 nt
Organism: Hyaena hyaena (striped hyena)
Lineage: Eukaryota; Metazoa; Chordata; Mammalia; Carnivora; Hyaenidae
Exons: 3
Source: RefSeq, a predicted model, not a curated record